CUGGUUUUGGGGAUAGACGGAGACAGAGGAAGCUGAAUACGGACGGAGGCGGCCCCGGAGUCGGGCACAGAGGCGACGAACUCAACGGUGAAGCCCGCGGUAAGGAAACUCACUGAAUCAGAUUCCGAUUACGUAAAAUCUCGAGACCCCUUCCGAACCUGCCAACACGGGUCGGGCUUCUUACAGUCCGAACCCAUCAAAUAAUGCGUCCGCUAGGAGACUUUUCUCCCUUCCCUGAGGACUUCCGAACCUGCUCCACAGAGUUCUUGCCCUUGUUCAUGCGAAGGUUGACCCGAGCCUGGGCCUGACCACUUGUCAAUCUAGAGAACCCAGAUAAGGGUAAGGGUGUUUUCUCCCUUUUCUUGCUUCCCAGUCGACGACUUUCGGUUCUUGGGCGAUUUAACCAGAGCCCGGUCACCGUUUCUACCAACGGUGGAUUCCUCGGAAAUAAAUGACCAGAUAUUCGACGGUCUCAUCUCUCAGCAUGUCUACCGUCUUCAAAAAAAUCUUGGGUCCCCUCGCAACAUGCCUCUGGAUCUCUUGGACCAGCUCCAUGCUCCCCGCGGGGACAGCCGUGGGAAGAUUCCUCAUUCUUCUCCCAAUUUUAUUAGUCCAACCUCGAGUUCAUCUUCCAUGAAUCACACGACAAGAAUUUGGUCAUUACAUCAUCCUUUGACUUUUGUUCAUUGCUGAAUAAAUAUUGCAUGAUAUAAUAGGUUUGACUCGAUUUUGGGUGUUGAGUAGGGUAGCCUAGAAACGAAGUGCGGUCUAAAAAUCUGGUGCAGCACCUGAUCCCCACCAAGCUUUGACUCCAACCUGCUGGUCUGGAAGACGAGCAAUUCAACAAAGUUUAAACCAGCAGGUAGGAAUUAUGUGCGGAGGAGUCGAUCAAAAUCACAACAUUUCAUCAAAUAUGAAACGCCCUGCAAAUUCAUAUCUAAGCUGCCAGUCUGAAGACAAGCAGUUUUCAGAAUUGUGCAAUUUCCAAUGCUCCACAUGUAUGAUUCUUUGCUCGUGAAUCACUGUUCUUGCCAUCCUUCUGUCAAGUGCUCGUCAUCUCCUAAAGGCUGGCCUAUUAAAUUGAUGGAGAGGGCCUGUUGAUACUGACAACACCAAAAAGAAGAAGCAGAGAGGGAAGAUUGCAGUAAUCAUGCUAUUUCCAUUAAUAUAUUCAUGGAAUGCGGAUGGGAGAAUUGCUGGUCGCUGAGCUCCAAGGUCAACACUGAGAUUUAUUUACUGAGUCACCUACAGCAGAAAAUAAUUCCUCCAGAAUUAUCUCCACACAGGGUCUGUUGACUACUUAGUUGUUUCACAGAACAAAGUUAAAGAUGAUCUUCUCAGGUGUUGCUGAGGCAGCUCGUCAGCUAUGGGGAGUGUUUCUUGAGGAAGCCGAGAAGUAACUGUUGGAUUUAAUUUAAUUUGGACAAAUUCUAUAUAAUUUGUGCAUCAUUAAAGGUUAUCAUUUAAAUAAUCAUAAUUAAGUGAUUUACUUAAGUUUAAACCUUAAGAUUAAGACAUCUUACAUAUGGGCAUCUAUAUAAUUAUGUGUAGAGACCGAGUCUAAUUCUAAUUUUAUAAUAGACAAAAUUAGAAAAGACACCUCUUGUCUAUAAAUAGGGGUCACACUCCUUAGGUCACACAAGGACGUGAGUUAUUCUCUAAAACAUCCCAUCUUUUUUGAAGUGCAUACAACUCACUUGUGUAGACCCAAAAGGACAUCCUUCUUUCUCAUCCACAUUCAGCAAUGAAUUAUGGUAUGGCCCUUUAUAUUUAUUUAUCUCAUACAUUUCACUGAUGGAUAUAGAUCAUAUAUUCUGAGUUCUAACAGGAACUGCUCUUGGACGAAGUGGGUCCCCUCUGGCAUGAAUUUGAUGUCCAAGUCGGGGACAAAGUUCUUCACCGUCCCACUCCUUACGUACUCCUCCAUCCCGG
RNAcentral lists this long non-coding RNA (1932 nucleotides) under Spirodela polyrhiza (greater duckweed). RNAcentral describes it as "long non-coding RNA (SPOL_LNC000299)". The record is from RNAcentral. Lineage: Eukaryota; Viridiplantae; Streptophyta; Magnoliopsida; Alismatales; Araceae.